RNAcentral lists this long non-coding RNA (467 nucleotides) under Trifolium pratense (red clover). RNAcentral describes it as "long non-coding RNA (TPRA_LNC006439)". Lineage: Eukaryota; Viridiplantae; Streptophyta; Magnoliopsida; Fabales; Fabaceae. The record is from RNAcentral.
CUAAACUCUAGGAAUAGAUUUGGGUUUAAUAUUCACUCAAAGUAUUUGAUCUUAAUGCUAUUGUAUUGAUUAAGCACCCGAGGGAUCGGGGUUUGAUAGGUACCAUAGAUUUCUCGGCGUUAUCUGGGAACGGAAACGUACGAUGAGUAAAUACGUGAUAAUAUUGAUAAAUGGCUAGAACCUGUGUAACUGAUUAAGGGAAUAUGUAUGAAUGAGUGAUUGAAAUCUAAUCCCAGCAAUUUCAUCUCUCUGUUAAUUUAGUCAUCUCUUGUCAUAGUUAUAUUUUCGCAACUUAUCGCAAACAAAUACCUUUCAACCACUUUACUUAAAAUUAUAUUAAUUGUUGAACGGCAUCGAUAUCGCAUCAGUCCCUGUGGAGACGAUAAAAAAUAUACUUACUUUUGUACUUCAACAAAAUGGCGCCGUUGCCGGGGACUGGCGUUUAGAUAUUGGAGCAUCGCAACAAU